Esox lucius (northern pike) is the source of this 2340-nucleotide long non-coding RNA. NCBI's taxonomy places the organism in Eukaryota, Metazoa, Chordata, Actinopteri, Esociformes, Esocidae. The record is from Ensembl.
CGUUGCUGUCAUAGUUGUUAUAACCUUCUUAUAUAUUUCAUUUAAAGACUGUGUGAAAUCUAUUUAUUUUUGGUUCAUUUUUUGUCACAAUUUGAGACAAGUGACAAAUGAAACAGAAUCAUACUUUUUAUCCCUCUUUUACACAUUGCUGAAGGAAUUGAGUUGAAUCGAAGCGCAAUGUUAUUUUUUUUUUAAAGACCAGUGUGCCAAAUUGGAAAGAAACCAUGAGAUCCGCUGUUUUUAUUUAUAGUUACAUGGUAGUUCUAGAUUUUUUAGAUCAUGUUUGCAAUGUUGUGUCUAGCGUGAUGAUAGUUUUUUUUUCUCCAUUUCAACCAAUAUGCUGAUUGUUUUGUGGUCAAGAUGGUGGAAGUCUUUUCCUUUGCUAUUAUGGUCUGGUGAUUAGAAUGCCUGGGCAUUGUAUCGUUAUCCUGUUGUUGAUCAGAGGUUUAAGCAAAUCACUUUUACUUUAGAAUAAAUUAUAUUAGCAUAUUAACUCAAUCAGUUUAUCGGUGCACAGAUUCUGCUUCAUUGGUUUCAUUUUGUAAGAGCAUUCUUUUAUUAAUAUGAACAUGCAGAUUCAGAUGUACAUCAGAAUCCUGUGUUAUAUAUAAAAAUAGACAUGGUUUGUCAGAUAGGGUUCAACUUCAUAUUUCCAGUUGAAGUAACCUACGGGUUCUCUAUCUUAUGUUGACUUAAGUGUUUCCACAGUCAAAAUGUUUUUAACCCUGAGAAAAAGUAAAUGUAUUAUUAGAGACAUAGCACUCAGCUUAAUGGUUUUGCCCUUGUUCGAGCUAUGUAUCUAAGAUGGGUGAAUUGUCUGAAAGACGUUGUAAAACCCAGCACAAUGCAUUUAUUGUACCAGGAUAUAGGCAAACGUUGCACACCAUCAAACCAACAAACCAGGAAUGAAAUCAAACUGGCGAGGUCUGCUGGUUUGGAGAGAAAGAUGACAUAUGUGUAACAUUAACGUUCAAAGACUUCUAUUCACUUUUAAUUCAUAUUUGCAAACACUCUGAUAAUUCCAUUGUCAGCCUAAGGUGAUUUUCUCCGGUCAUCUUCUCAUUUAUGGAAACUCAUUCCAAACUGUAGACAAUGGUAGAGUUGGCUCUUAAUGAUGUGCUGGGGGUUUCAUUUCAUGGCACUGUAAGUUGCAAUGGUUGGGACUUUCAUGCUGGACAUGUGAAUUAAGACUUUCAGGACUGGGCAGGGUAGGUUCAGACCAGCACUUUAACGCAUGGGUCCAAAACAUCAAACUGUACGGGCAUUGGGUCUCUGUCACUAAAGAGUUAAUAGGAGUAAACCUGACUGGCCUCACUUGGAGUGGAUGAUCAACUCUCACUUAAAACAAUGAUGACCUUGGAAAAAAAAAAUCUACAACUGAAGCACUGUAAUGUUUUUUUUUUGUCAGCAGGUGGCAGGGUGAAUACUAGGUUGGCUCAAUUAUUUCCCAUCCGACGACAACGGUGACAGAGUUCUCUGUCACACUACUAAUGGGAAUCCACAGUUAACACAUUGUUUUGCAAUACAUUACUAUUAAAUGCAGAGACUGGGGUUACUAAAUAUUUAGGUAUACUAUAUAUGGAGUAAUUCAUGUCAUGUACUACUGUAAUAAGUGUGCGCUGUCAGUUGUAGAAGUAUGAAUCCACAUUGAAGUCAUUGCCAGCAUUUGAAAGAAUCUGGCAAAUGGUCACACACUGAUAACUUCAGAAUAAGGUCGCUGUUCUUUCCCCACUGUUACAGUAAAAAUUAAAAAAAUAAAUAUAAUAUGGUUUCUUUUUAACUGUAUAGUAUUUUAAAAAGCAAUGUUGCAUAUGUCUGAAAAAUUCGAUGAAAAAAAAAAUGGGUUUAAAUGGAUGGUGCUCGUUUCAUUGAAUCUGAGUUGUAUCACCUCUGUUAUGUUUAUUAAAAAGAUAUUGUGCAUGACGUGUUUAGCAGUCAUAAUGAUGUCCAUUUGUGAAAUGUGUAUCUUAAAUUAAAAAAUGAAAUAAAAAAUAAUGAAUCCGUAGAUGCACUUAUUGUACAUGUGGUUAGGUUAGUGUUUGACUUCAAGUCCUUACAGAUGUAUUGGGCAGGUGGUUCUUAAAUGAAUACAAAAAAGCUUGUGGGAGAGAGAUGUAAUGAAAAAAAUGAAAGGAUUGUAGAAUAAUAUUGAACAAUUCUGAAAUAGCAGUUCUUUUGAUGCUUGUGAUUAUUGAAGAUGUACUUUAGAGAAAUUUCAUGGAAAAGAUAUGAUUCUGAUGUUAAUUCUGUAGAAUAGAAAUGUAUACCAAAUGUAAUCUUUCCAAUGCUAUGAAGAAUUUAUACAUGAAAUUGAUAUGCAAUAAAACCUGUGUGCUUUUU